This 230-nucleotide ribosomal RNA is filed under the name uncultured bacterium. RNAcentral describes it as "partial 16S ribosomal RNA". It matches the Rfam family "Bacterial small subunit ribosomal RNA", at positions 547 to 775 of the family's 1533-position model. The record is from RNAcentral.
GGAAUUACUGGGCGUAAAGGGCGCGUAGGCGGUGCGGUAAGUUAGGCGUGAAAGGCCCGGGCUCAACCCAGAGACGCCACCCGAUACUGCCGUGACUCGAGUCCGGUAGGGGAGCAUGGAAUUCCUGGUGUAGCGGUGAAAUGCGCAGAUAUCAGGAGGAACACCAGUGGCGAAGGCGGUGCUCUGGGCCGGUACUGACGCUGAGGAGCGAAAGCGUGGGUAGCAAACAG